UACGAAGGGGGCUAGCGUUGCUCGGAAUCACUGGGCGUAAAGCGCACGUAGGCGGCUUCUUAAGUCAGGGGUGAAAUCCUGGAGCUCAACUCCAGAACUGCCUUUGAUACCGAGAGGCUCGAGUCCGGGAGAGGUGAGUGGAACUCCGAGUGUAGAGGUGAAAUUCGUAGAUAUUCGGAAGAACACCAGUGGCGAAGGCGGCUCACUGGCCCGGUACUGACGCUGAGGUGCGAAAGCGUGGGGAGCAAAC
This 250-nucleotide ribosomal RNA is filed under the name uncultured bacterium. RNAcentral's name for it is "partial 16S ribosomal RNA". It matches the Rfam family "Bacterial small subunit ribosomal RNA", at positions 524 to 773 of the family's 1533-position model. The record is from RNAcentral.